This is a long non-coding RNA of Symphalangus syndactylus (siamang), 673 nucleotides long. RefSeq lists it as uncharacterized. NCBI's taxonomy places the organism in Eukaryota, Metazoa, Chordata, Mammalia, Primates, Hylobatidae. The record is from RefSeq and is a predicted model, not a curated record.
AUAGAGAGUACUUUUAUUUGCAGGAGAUUCCCUCUAUAGUUGCUGAACCUGUCAAUGUAACAAGAAGGGUGGAGGGUGUCCCUCUCAAGAUGAUCUGAGGGACAUUGGUGAGCAACCAGCUAGCUGACGCAGUAUGAGGACACUGUCUUCCAUGCCACUGCCUCCUCAGAAGAGUCUGCCCGGUUCAUCUGUCAGUUCAGCAGCGGCUCUGUGACGGCCAGAUGCCUGGCGGAUUUUCAUUUCCAGAGAUAUUAUACUACUUGCUUUCAAAGGAAUUCAAUAUUUUCAUUCAGAAAAGUAAUUUCACAGGAAAGUAACACAGAGUGAUGUCCUGGGUAUUCAUUUUCAGAGCCAAUCUUACAAAGUCAAUUUGUGCUGCAAGGAGCUGGGGCGACAUGAAAAGGACUCUAAGAAGGGAAGACGAGGUCCUGUUCUGGCAUGCUUUCAAGUCUCUUCCAUAGGAGAUGAAGGCUUGUUGCUGUGCCUUCAAGGGUAUAAAUUUAGAGGCCGCCAAACCGUCCGGAGGUAAUUCAAAUGCUGGUAAAUGUUGGAAUCCACCCUGGCCCCUGCUCAUGUGAAUACCCUGGCACUAACCCCACUCACAGGAAACGAAACCAAUUUGGGAAAGCGAAGAGAGAAUAAACAUGCAAUUAAAAUGGCCACUUCUCCUGGU